GGCGAACGGGUGAGUAACACGUGGGCAAUCUGCCCUUCACUCUGGGAAAGGCCAGGAAACGGGGUCUAAUACCGGAUAACACUCCCACGGGCAUGGGAGGGGGUUAAAAGCUCCGGCGGUGAAGGAUGAGCCCGCGGCCUAUCAGCUUGUUGGUGAGGUAACUUUCCCACCAAGGCGACGACGGGUAGCCGGCCUGAGAGGGCGACCGGCCACACUGGGACUGAGACACGGCCCAGACUCCUACGGGAGGCAGCAGUGGGGAAUAUUGCACAAUGGGCGAAAGCCUGAUGCAGCGACGCCGCGUGAGGGAUGACGGCCUUCGGGUUGUAAACCUCGUUCAGAAGGGAAGAAGCUA
This 355-nucleotide ribosomal RNA is filed under the name Streptomyces sp. RNAcentral describes it as "bacterial SSU rRNA". It matches the Rfam family "Bacterial small subunit ribosomal RNA", at positions 97 to 453 of the family's 1533-position model. Lineage: Bacteria; Bacillati; Actinomycetota; Actinomycetes; Kitasatosporales; Streptomycetaceae. The record is from RNAcentral.